This 6050-nucleotide long non-coding RNA is filed under the name Homo sapiens (human). RNAcentral's name for it is "HSALNT0107416". Lineage: Eukaryota; Metazoa; Chordata; Mammalia; Primates; Hominidae. The record is from RNAcentral.
CUUCUCCCUCAAGGCUGUUCUAGGUUUUCUUUACCAUUUAUUUCUUACCUCAUCUUUAUUGAUUCCUUUGCUUCAAACACCUCUCUAGAGCUACCAAUGACCAUGUUUUCCAAUACCCAGAACUAUGCUGGUUCCCUGAGCCCCCCUUGCCAUACACUCUCUCUAAAGUCAUUUUCAAAACUCUCUUCUCCUAGAAAGGCUAUCUGGAACUCUGGAAAACAUUCACAAUAAUCUCAGUAACAGAAGAUGAAAUGUGCUCCUAUCAUUAGGUUCAACUACGGAGCUUUAAGCUUGAAUUUACUACAGUGGAAGUAGAAGUUUCAGGGGUAAAGUGGAAGAAAAUAUGCAAGUCAACAUGGUGUAUUAUUACAGGACAAGUCCCUUCCUGAAAAGCUCUUCAUUGUCUCUUGAAAACGGUCUGUGAAAGUGCCAAACCACCAGCUCUCCAGAUGUGGCUGAAUAUCAAGGCAUCCUCACAUGGUGGAAGGGACAGAAGGCAAAAAAGGGAGGAACACUGUGUCCUCACAUGGCAGAAGAGCAGAAGAGAAUGAACUCAUUCCCUCAAGCCCUGCUAGAAGGGCACUACUCUCAUCCACUAGGACUCCAACCUCACAGCUUCAUCACCUCUUAAAAGCCCCACCUCUUCAUACUAUCAGUUGAUUAUUAAAUUCCAACAUCUGAAUGUUGGAGGACACAUCCAGACCGUAGCAUCCCUCAAAAAAAGAAUAAAGAUGUUCCAUAGCACCCAUCAUUUAUUGAAAUGAUUUUCGAACACAAAUACAGCAUUGAGAGCAAGCUUUUAAAAUAAAUUGAGGGGCUUCUGGGUCAAGAUCACUAAUGGAACACACAUGUUCAUUUUAUAUUCUUCUCUGGACACUAUUAAAAUGAGAGUAAAGGAAUGUUAAACCAUAAACCCACAAAAAUAAGAGACCUGGCAAAGAGAAAAAUCAGUGUGAAAAAGCACAUUGCAAAUUUCUGGAAGAUGAAAAGGAGAUAGAGGUAGACAGCCAGAUGAAGAUGAGCUGCCAAGAAGAGACCUUAGUAUAAAUGACUUUGCAAACCCUGGAGGGUGCCAGAGUCAAGGAAGACAAAUUCCACAAAGGCAAAGGCAUGACUGUAAAGAAGGGCUGAAAAGAAGGAGAUUCAUUGAAAGCCUCUAAAACCAGCUCUUUCUUUUCCUUCCCCACCCCAUGCAAAGAUGGACCAGCAGGCAGGAGGUCUACAAGCUGUAGGCAAAGGAUUGCUGGGCUGAAUGAAUGAAUAAGCAGAAGCAAGUGGCACAACAAAACAUGCCAGAAUUCCAAAACUGAAAGCUGAGUUCAAGUGGAAAAACAAAAUAGGGAUGAAAAAAGGUUUUAUUUCCCAUAUAUUUCCUUCACAUUCUAAGUUAAUGCCCCACUCUCUGUGAUAAGUGUAUUAAUUUAUGCUAACAUUUUCUUCCUUCAGCCUCCCACUAUGACAUGAUAUCCCCAGAGAAAUUAUAACAGGUUCAGGAAAGCAAUCCUAUGAGCUCUCUCAACUGCUCCUAAGACGAAUGUCAUCAAGUUGGUAUUUAAAAUCACGAGGUGGUCUCUAAAUUGCUACGCUCUGACAGCUAUAAGGGUACUAGGCCUAUUUUGAAGACCAAGCUGGGGGUGGAGGGGGGUGUCUUCCCAGAAGCUACCCAUGCAAGAAAAUACCCAUUAACUGAGAAGAAAAUUAAUAAAAGGACCCUUGAGAAAUUUUUAGGUUAUAAAUAAUAACAAAAGACCAGCAAUUGAACUACAAACAUCCUCUAACCAUUUUUUUAAAAAUCAUCUCCUUAUUUUCAUGAAGGUCAUGUAGCAAAAUAAAGCAAAUGAUUCUCUAAUACAAUUCCAUCACUAAUACCACAGUCUAUUUGUCAUUCCCUUAGGGGAGCUGUACUUGAGACAGAACAACUAGAUAUAUAAUUGUAAUUCUCACAAUGAGAACCUAGAAAAUAUUUCGCCACACGUACAGUAUGCUAUAUAUGUCACUGUGAAAGCACAGCUCGGUUAAAGCCUGCAAUCCAUCUAUCUCCUUUCUGUUAUUCGCCAUCACACAGAGCUAUAUCAAAAGAUCCAUUCAAACAGUGAGUCUCAGACUUACAUUAUCAGCAGACACUGCUUUAAUUAGCAGUGGUUUUCAAAGGGCUGGAUGGCUUCGAGAACUUGAUUUGAACCAUAAAGUAGAAAUCUGGAUCCUUAUCAGUUUCACUUUUCAACUCUCAGCUCCCCUCCCUGGGUUCCAAUAGAUACAGCCCUCAUUUUCCUUAAUGUAAGAAAGAAAAUGAAAAUGGUGGCUAGAGUUUGGCAAUACUUGUGCGUCCACUUUUUCCUCAACCACCAGUGAUGCAGAGGGGCUAAAAUUAAGGUUGCAAAGGAACUAAGAUAUCUGUGUCAGGUACGUUGCAGGGAGUGGUAGGAAUGACAGAAAGAGAAUGAAUAAAAGAAACCAUUUUUAAAAUAACAUUUAACACACAGAUUUUAUGUAUAUAUGUGUGUGUGUGUGUGUGUGUGUGUGUGUGUGUGUGUGUGUGUGUGUAUUUUUUUUAUUCCAAAUAAAAACAUAGCAUCCACUUUAUUUUAGGUUAAGUGUGAGAAAAUAUAAUGCUUUAUUUUGGGCAUUUCAAUACAAACAUUAAGGCACUUACAUGCUACUUUUUUCAUCUAUUUCACAAUAUUUACCCAUGAUCCAAUUCCUGAAUCUUUGUUAUUUCUCAGUGAAAACAUAGAAAACUAUGCAAUUUAAUUGAUCAGUACUGAACUGUGAACUUUCUAUUCUAAAAGGAAGGUUUCAUCUAAUAACAAGGACUUCUGUUUUACAUUUGAUCAGUGAUAAUAUAAAAAUAGAAACUAUUUCAAGAUUCCUAAUGUUUGAAUAAAUAGGCAUCAUUUGGUAUGGAAAGAAUUUAAUAAAUCCACAGCCAGAGAGCACUUUUGAUAGAUGUAUAAAAUAAUGAAGAGCAUAGCAAUAUUUUCAAAUCCAAUCCAACCUUUCACUUUGUAGAUAAAGAAGCCAAAGGUUAAGUGAUUUGUCAAAGCCAUACAAGCACAACUUUAACUGUAUUACCUACCAGUCUCCUGGAAUCAGAUCUAACAUGCUCCUCACCAUACUAGUUGGCACUUAGGGAGAGAUAGAAAACCUCUUUGGAAUAAGAAUCCUUGUCACCAUCAACACACACACACACACACACACACACACUGAAGACACAGGUUCUUCAUUUAGAUUUUCAUAGGUAUGUGAAUUAAACACCUGUACACACUCGCUUUUUCAUUUUUCCAGUCUCUCCUCAUUUUGCCAUUAUGCACAUUAGGACUUUAAUUCUCACUGCUUAGCAAUUUCCCAAUGAUCCUCAUGGUCCACCACUAUCAUAGCAUAUUUCCUUUCCUCUCUCUUUUUAAAAUUUCUUGCUAUAGAUUCUUUUGCAAUUUUUAAAUUUUUGUUAUUGGCUCAAAGGAGAAGAGGCCAGAAAGAAAUUAAGAUGGAAUUAUUUCUUAUUCAAAAGAGAUUUAAGUUUUUCAACUACUUAGUUUUUCACUUUGGUCUGCCAAAUGAUCAGGAUUCACGGUUACUAUUUACUACUAUACUUCACCUGGGGUAAGACCAGAAUUUUUUAAUUACUCAUAAUGCUUAAGGGUUGUCUCAGUUAUUUGGAGAACAUUAUCCUAAUCAUCAAAUCUCUAAUAUCUGAUGCAGAGAGAUCAACCAUAUAAUCCUCUUAUUGACAUCUCGGAAAUGUCUUACCUCCCUAAGAAAGGGAAAAAUUAAUUAAUUUUACUAAAAAUUCAGGAGUGACACACUGUUCAGAAACUCAGAGAAUCCUGGUUCCGAAUUCCCUCCAGUUGCCUUCCAGCUGACGGAUGCUUACUGAGAAACUUAACAUGAAAUUUUGGUCUCUACCACCCAUCUGUUUUAUGAAAAUAAUUAUUUCCACAGGGUAUUUUAGAUGUCAACUCUGGAUGCUAUCUCUGGAGAAAAGUGGAUAAUAAAUUUAAAAUAUACCAAUGAUGAAUGGGCCAUUGUGGGCGAUGUGCCAAGUGGAGACGUAGAAUGCACAGUAAGCAACACAAAUACCUUAGGGAGGGCAGCUGCAGUCUUAAAGAUGCUGAAGUGCCUACCAUGGCCCAUGACAAUGUCACCAAUAAAAUCAAACAUGAGCCGGCAGCUUAGGGGAGUUAACGUAUGGGGGCAAAGCAACUCACUCACAUCCUCUACCAUCAAAAUUGUCCCUCAGACAAAAGGAACAUCUAAGGCAACUUUAUCAGUUGAAUCCAAAACACAGCAAGAGUCAUUGCUACUCUUAUGAGUAGCAGAGACAAGGAAGGAGGUUUCCAAAAUAAAUGAUGUAAUGCCAAAAAAAUAAAAUAUCAUCGUUUGCAUGUUUUUAUCUUUCUUUCCUUCAUUUAGGUCAUCACCAAAAUUAGUUUAUUAAGAAUGAAUGCAACCAAUUGUGGUAUAAAGAUACAUACAUCCAGUACCUUACCGCCAGAGAUUUCCUACUUAUUAAAUUUAAUUUGCAUUUAUUACUUAUUUUAUUAUGUGAAGUUGCCUUGUAAGGAAUAACAUAUAGAUCAGAAGCAACAUUCAAGCCAUACGGAAAGUAAUAUCUAGAUAACACAUCAGAAACAUUGGCAGAAUAGAUGACUUGUUUUGGGGCAUGUCAGGGCCUUCUGAGUGAGUGCCUGUUACCAAUGACUCUAGUUAGACACAAUUAGAAAGAGAAAUAAAUAUAUAAGUAGAUAUUAUGGCAGAAUAAAACAUGUUACAGGCCGGGCGCAACGGCUCACGCCUGUAAUUCUAGCACUUUGAGAGGCCGAGGCGGGCAGAGUGCCUGAGCCCAGGAGUUCGAGACUAGCCUGGGCAACAGAGUGAAACCCUGUCUCUACUAAAAUACAAAAAAAAAAAAAAAAAUUAGCUGGGCAUGGCAGCAUGUGCCUGUGGUCCCAGCUACUCGGGAGACUGAGGCAGGAUAAUUGCUUGAACCCGGGAGGCAGAGGUUGCAGUGAGCCGAGAUCAUGCCACUACACUCCAGCCUGGGCGACAGAGUGAGACUCCAUCUCCAAAAAUAAUAAUAAUAAUAAUAAUCAUGUUACCAUGUUACAGCAUAAAAUGCUUUACAAUCAUUCCCAUUGUUAAGACAUUCUGAAGAAUAAUUAUAGACUUGCUACCACAGGUCCAUGUGAGAAACUGAGGUGUCAAUGGUUUGUACACUUAGAAUGUUUCUGAGCGGCUAAAACCUAUCAUUAUUAUAUCAUAAUGUACUUAAAAAUAAUCAAAGCGUAAUAAUUGCCUUGAGGGCUAGGACUUUAUUAUGUAUGUUCCCACUGCAGCCCUUAGUACUCUGUCUUAUUCAAAAUAAGUGUCUAGUGAUGUAUACUGAUUUGAAAGUCUGUUUUGUUUUUUCUGAGUACAUUGUCAUCCAAUAGGCACUAGGUUGCAUCUCUGAAGACACUCACCAACAACACCCAGACCUGUCAUCAGAUAAUGAUAUGAGGAAUUAGAACCAAGCACGAAUCUCAUGUUUUUUGUUUAUUAACAGAUUUCUUCUUAGAAAGUAAUUAAUUUUAUUUGUAUUAAUGAAGCUAUGAAUUAAUAAAUAAUUUAGGCUGGGCAUGGUGGCUCACACCUGUAAUCCCAACACUUUGGGAGGCUAAGGUGGGCGAAUUACCUGAGGUCAGGAGUUCGAAACUAGCCUGACCAAUAUGGUGAAACCCCAUCUCUACUAAAAAUACAAAAUUAGCUGGGCAUGGUGGCCCAUGCCUGUAAUCCCAGCUGCUGAGAAGGCUGAAGCAGCAGAAUCGCUUGAACCCAGGAGGCGGAGGUUGCAGUGAGCCGAGAUUGCACCAUUGCACUCCAGCUUGGGCAACAAGAGUGAAACUCGAAUUCAAAAUAAAUAAAUAAUUUAAUUAACCUUAUUUAAAGAGCUAUCCUUCACUGAAUUAUCACAGAAUUCUAAAAUUCUUUGUAGCUUUACAUUUUAACAACAGUUUGUUUGUUUGUUUUCCAUUUCUUUUCUCUUUUGCUGUAUUUAAAAAUAAGUGGUAUGG